UGCCUUGAAGGAAAUGGAAAGCAAAAAUAUCUGGACAAAAUUCAUAAAGCAACUGACAGGAAGUCUCAGAAAGUUGGAGAAAAAGUAGACUGGCGAGGGACAUCAAAACUCACCUCCCAAGAGUCUUCAGCCAAAAGACUUGGAAAGGGCACUCUAGAAUGACAAACAUUUUGACCACACUGGACCUUACUCUGGCUUAACACCAUAAAAAAGUACUGCCCCUCCUCACUGGGCAUCAUGGCCUCGAGAGUGGCAGAUCUCUGCUGUCCCUCAGUUCUUGAAAUAACAGGCCUGUUCCCUUCCCUGGAACAGAGACCGGGGAUUUCUCAACACCGUGGAGUCUAGAAUGAAGUGGAACAUUUUUCAGUGCUAAAAGAAGAAAACAGUCAACUCAAAAUUAUAGAUAUCCAGCAAAAAUA
Molecule: long non-coding RNA, 419 nt
Organism: Lemur catta (Ring-tailed lemur)
Lineage: Eukaryota; Metazoa; Chordata; Mammalia; Primates; Lemuridae
Exons: 3
Source: RefSeq, a predicted model, not a curated record